GAUGAACGCUGGCGGCGUGCCUAAUACAUGCAAGUCGAGCGAACGGACGAGAAGCUUGCUUCUCUGAUGUUAGCGGCGGACGGGUGAGUAACACGUGGAUAACCUACCUAUAAGACUGGGAUAACUUCGGGAAACCGGAGCUAAUACCGGCUAAUAUUUUGAACCGCAUGGUUCAAAAGUGAAAGACGGUCUUGCUGUCACUUAUAGAUGGAUCCGCGCUGCAUUAGCUAGUUGGUAAGGUAACGGCUUACCAAGGCAACGAUGCAUAGCCGACCUGAGAGGGUGAUCGGCCACACUGGAACUGAGACACGGUCCAGACUCCUACGGGAGGCAGCAGUAGGGAAUCUUCCGCAAAGGGCGAAAGCCUGACGGAGCAACGCCGCGUGAGUGAUGAAGGUCUUCGGAUCGUAAAACUCUGUUAUUAGGGAAGAACAUAUGUGUAAUUAACUGUUCACAGCUUGACGGUACCUAAUCAGAAAGCCACGGCUAACUACGUG
This 497-nucleotide ribosomal RNA is filed under the name uncultured bacterium. Its description in RNAcentral is "partial 16S ribosomal RNA". It matches the Rfam family "Bacterial small subunit ribosomal RNA", at positions 28 to 507 of the family's 1533-position model. The record is from RNAcentral.